Molecule: ribosomal RNA, 496 nt
Filed under: uncultured bacterium
Lineage: Bacteria
Description: bacterial SSU rRNA
Rfam family: Bacterial small subunit ribosomal RNA
Source: RNAcentral
GACGAACGCUGGCGGCGUGCCUAAUACAUGCAAGUCGAGCGAACUUUUGGGAGCUUGCUCCCAAAAGUUAGCGGCGGACGGGUGAGUAACACGUGGGCAACCUGCCUAUAAGACUGGGAUAACUUCGGGAAACCGGAGCUAAUACCGGAUAAUUCUUUUCUACUCAUGUAGGAAAGCUGAAAGACGGCUUCGGCUGUCACUUAUAGAUGGGCCCGCGGCGCAUUAGCUAGUUGGUGAGGUAACGGCUCACCAAGGCAACGAUGCGUAGCCGACCUGAGAGGGUGAUCGGCCACACUGGGACUGAGACACGGCCCAGACUCCUACGGGAGGCAGCAGUAGGGAAUCUUCCGCAAUGGACGAAAGUCUGACGGAGCAACGCCGCGUGAGUGAUGAAGGUUUUCGGAUCGUAAAACUCUGUUGUUAGGGAAGAACAAGUACGAGAGUAACUGCUCGUACCUUGACGGUACCUAACCAGAAAGCCACGGCUAACUACGUG